UGGGGAAUCUUGGGCAAUGGACGAAAGUCUGACGCAGCGACGCCGCGUGGGUGAAGAAGGCCUUCGGGUUGUAAAGCCCUGUCGAACGAGAAAAACAGCCAUUAGAAUAAUAAGCUAGUGGUUUGAUGGUAUCGUUAGAGGAAGCACCGGCUAACUCUGUGCCAGCAGCCGCGGUAAUACCGAGGGUGCAAGCGUUGUUCGGAAUUAUUGGGCGUAAAGGGCAGGUGGGUGGUCUCAAAAGUCUACUGUGAAAUCCCUGGGCUUAACCCAGGAACUGCGGUGGAUACUCUGAGACUUGAGUGUCGGAGGGGCAUGCGGAAUUCCCAGUGUAGCGGUGAAAUGCGUAGAUAUUGGGAGGAACACCAGAGGCGAAAGCGGCAUGCUGGACGACAACUGACACUAAACUGCGAAAGCGUGGGGAGCAAACAGG
Molecule: ribosomal RNA, 430 nt
Filed under: Acidobacteriota bacterium
Lineage: Bacteria; Pseudomonadati; Acidobacteriota
Description: Acidobacteria bacterium partial 16S ribosomal RNA
Rfam family: Bacterial small subunit ribosomal RNA
Source: RNAcentral